GCCGCAUGAACAACGCUUAAAAGAUGGCUUCUCGCUAUCACUUCUGGAUGGACCUGCGGUGCAUUAGCUUGUUGGUGGGGUAAUGGCCUACCAAGGCGAUGAUGCAUAGCCGAGUUGAGAGACUGAUCGGCCACAAUGGGACUGAGACACGGCCCAUACUCCUACGGGAGGCAGCAGUAGGGAAUCUUCCACAAUGGACGCAAGUCUGAUGGAGCAACGCCGCGUGAGUGAAGAAGGUUUUCGGAUCGUAAAGCUCUGUUGUUGGUGAAGAAGGAUAGAGGUAGUAACUGGCCUUUAUUUGACGGUAUUUAACCAGAAAGUCACGGCUAACUACGUGCCAGCAGCCGCGGUAAUACGUAGGUGGCAAGCGUUGUCCGGAUUUAUUGGGCGUAAAGCGAGCGCAGGCGGAUUGAUAAGUCUGAUGUGAAAGCCUUCGGCUUAACCGAAGAACUGCAUCAGAAACUGUCGAUCUUGAGUGCAGAAGAGGAGAGUGGAACUCCAUGUGUAGCGGUGAAAUGCGUAGAUAUAUGGAAGAACACCGGUGGCGAAGGCGGCUCUCUGGUCUGUUACUGACGCUGAGGCUCGAAAGCAUGGGUAGCGAA
Molecule: ribosomal RNA, 602 nt
Filed under: Pseudomonas protegens
Lineage: Bacteria; Pseudomonadati; Pseudomonadota; Gammaproteobacteria; Pseudomonadales; Pseudomonadaceae
Description: bacterial SSU rRNA
Rfam family: Bacterial small subunit ribosomal RNA
Source: RNAcentral